UAGCUCCCUCUGUUUUUUUCAAAUGAAGAAUAACGUGACUGGGAACUAGAGACUCCGGAAACCCUGGGAAUCCUCAGGAGUGAGCUGGGUUAGUCUUUUCCUUGCGGGACCAGGGUCCAUGGGGACAGGGAAUAAGCACAAUACAUCCGAGAAGAUGCCGGUGCACCUCAGCAAGACCCUUCCGCGAUCCGGGGCUUUGGGCUGUGAUCACACAAGAUUCCCACCAGGACCCCCUCUGAAAAGAGACCCUUUCGUGUGUCUUCUGAAUCCUCAAGGGCUCAAAUACAGAGUCCAUAUUUGCAAAGUGAAGGUCAUAACACUACCAACCACAGGCAGUUGUAGCGACAGCCAGGAGAGACAAUGCAAGAGAAGCCCAUGGCAGAGUACUUGCACGAUGCAUUUCUACUUGAGAGUCUUGCCAUCAGAAGACCCAUGUCUUUAUACAAUGUGCUGAGCCUUGUCAUUCUCUAGACAAUUGGUGUUGAUGUCACCUGAAAAUACCAAUGUGUUAACAUACUUUCUUCCUCUCGUAAUAAACCUUGGACACAGUGCAUCAAAAAGGCCUUCAAAAUGCUACAUUUCCCCCGUCACCAAGCUUUUCAAAGAUGGACCAACCAGCCUCCAUUCUGAGCAAUUUCCGGAAGAACAUAUCGUCUGAGACUCCUCAAAUUAACCAAUUUCUGCAAACAAUGCGUUCUCACUGGUAGAUAUUGUCAUUUAUACUUCCUUGUUUUCAGAUCACAAAAAUUAAAAAUGACAACCUCCAGAGGAAAAUUUGCCAAAUUCCAUGAAACCUGUUCUAUCAUUUGGUCAAAUUAAGUAGAAAAUUGUAUCCUCCAACCGGGACUGUAACAGCCAGUUUCAUGGAUUAAACCAUUCUCGGAAAAAGAGCUUUCCCCACCCCAGAGAAUGAAUAAACUCAAUCGGGUGUGAGGUUUUUAAAGCUCCCCUUGAAAUUUUAAAGAGGGUUAUUUUUUUUUUUUUUUGCUACGUAUAUGCAAUUUUAAUUCUCUAAAAUGAAACUGACAAUUUUAGAAAAUUCAAACUACCAAACCAUGCCUUCUUUCUACCAGUGAAGCUUAGUUCUUUUGGAUCAUGGUCAUAUCUAUAUUUUUCUAUUAUGACGUCAAUGUCAUUUGCUGGUAAAUGUCCCCCUCACUGGCACCUGAAGGCAAGGAAAUGGGGUAAUAAUAAAUGA
Molecule: long non-coding RNA, 1198 nt
Organism: Leopardus geoffroyi (Geoffroy's cat)
Lineage: Eukaryota; Metazoa; Chordata; Mammalia; Carnivora; Felidae
Exons: 3
Source: RefSeq, a predicted model, not a curated record